RNAcentral lists this ribosomal RNA (417 nucleotides) under Bifidobacterium reuteri. RNAcentral describes it as "partial 23S ribosomal RNA". It matches the Rfam family "Bacterial large subunit ribosomal RNA", at positions 326 to 741 of the family's 2925-position model. Lineage: Bacteria; Bacillati; Actinomycetota; Actinomycetes; Bifidobacteriales; Bifidobacteriaceae. The record is from RNAcentral.
GUGCUAGGGGAACCGGGUUGGAUACCGGGCCGUAGAGGGUGAUGGCCCCGUACCCGAAUGCGCGUGGACCGUCGAUCAUGCUUUUCCCGAGUAGCGCGGGUCCCGUGGAACCCCGUGUGAAUCCGCCCCGACCGUGGGGCAAGCCUAAGUAUUCCUGUCUGACCGAUAGCGUACUAGUACCGUGAGGGAAAGGUGAAAAGCACCCCGGGAGGGGAGUGAAAGAGUUCCUGAAACCGUGCGCCUACGAUCCGUCGGAGCCCUCGUUGUGGGGUGACGGCGUGCCUAUCGAAAAAUGAGUCUGCGAGUCAGUGGCGGGUGGCGAGCGUAAGCCGUGUGGCGGACGCGUAGCGAAGGCGAGUCUCAAAAGGCGUUGAGUCGCCCGUCCUGGACCCGAAGCGGGAUGAUCUAGCCCUGGGC